Molecule: regulatory RNA element, 161 nt
Organism: Pseudobutyrivibrio xylanivorans DSM 14809
Lineage: Bacteria; Bacillati; Bacillota; Clostridia; Lachnospirales; Lachnospiraceae
Source: Rfam
UUUGGAAUGAGCUUAGAAAAAUAAAAAGCAGGUUUUGCUAUGUAUAGGCAGCUGCCGCUAGGACGGCGGCAGCAGUGGUCACUUGAAACACGACGUUGAAUGUGCCACGGUGACUAUACAUACAAAACCUGCUUUUGUUAUUUUUCUUAGUGAAUGUAAUA